RNAcentral lists this long non-coding RNA (467 nucleotides) under Rattus norvegicus (Norway rat). Its description in RNAcentral is "long non-coding RNA NONRATT033307". The record is from RNAcentral. Lineage: Eukaryota; Metazoa; Chordata; Mammalia; Rodentia; Muridae.
GGGACUGAGGAGGAAUUACUCACUGUUUUCAAGGGGCAGUGUCAGCGAAGUAGAAGUCCAACCAAGGUCAUAGUGGAGGAUAUGCUGGAAAGGAAGGUUACAAGUGACACCGCAUGCUGAGCGUCUGUCUUCUUUCUAGUUAGUCCAGAUGUGUGGAUCAGCAAACUAUCCAGCAUCUAGAAGAGCUGUGCAUAUUGGGUGGGGGAGACUGAACUGCAUGCCAUUCUGAAGGAAAUCUUAAGACAAAGAAGAAAAUGUCCCCAGCUUUGCAGGUAAUAUUACUGGAACUUGCCAGAAAGAAGAUACAGCUUUCAGUGCAGUGAACUUGCCUGUGAGGAUAACCAGGUGCCAUCAAUAGCAAAACUAUUCUAUUUUGAACACCAGCCAAAAUGAUUCUACUCUCCUGAUAUUUUGAAGUUAGUAUUUUAUAACUGGCUUCAGCAUCAUAAUACCAUCUUUCCUUUGAG